RNAcentral lists this ribosomal RNA (460 nucleotides) under uncultured bacterium. RNAcentral's name for it is "partial 16S ribosomal RNA". It matches the Rfam family "Bacterial small subunit ribosomal RNA", at positions 338 to 795 of the family's 1533-position model. The record is from RNAcentral.
CCUACGGGGGGCAGCAGUGAGGAAUAUUGGUCAAUGGGCGGAAGCCUGAACCAGCCAAGUCGCGUGAGGGAUUAAGGCCCUGCGGGUCGUAAACCUCUUUUGCAGGGGAGCAGAGGUCCGGACGUGUCCGGGCCGGGAGAGUACCCGGAGAAAAAGCAUCGGCUAACCCCGUGCCAGCAGCCGCGGUAAUACGGGGGAUGCGAGCGUUAUCCGGAUUUAUUGGGUUAAAAGGGUCCGUAGGCGGGCAUUAAAGCCGGCGGUCAAAUGUCGGGGCUCAACCCAGGCCUGCCGUCGGAACUGGGUGCCUUGAGUGGGCGAGAGGUAUGCGGAAUGCGUGGUGUAGCGGUGAAAUGCAUAGAUAUCACGCAGAACCCCGAUUGCGAAGGCAGCAUACCGGCGCCCUACUGACGCUGAGGCACGAAAGUGCGGGUAUCGAACAGGAUUAGAUACCCGGGUAGUC